GACAGACGGAAAUGAUAAGAAAUGUUUCUGCUUGUCUCGACGUUUUGCAUUCUGCUUUGGAUAACAAGUAAUUGCAAUGCCUUUUCUGUAAUGCAGUCGCAGAAGUUUGUCAGCAGAAAGCCUGAUGAGGCUGUUGUCCUCUCGUGUGAGCAUGACGGGGACAGCAGCAGCUAUAACUACUACAUCUACUGGUACCAACAGCUCCGGGGUCGUGGUGGGCUGCAGCUCAUGACAUAUUCCUACACCGACAACGCACCUAACUAUGAACAGGAAUUCAAAGGAAGACUGAUCACCACCAGAGACGGCAACAACAAAAGCAACAUCACAAUCAACAGUCUAAACGUUACCGACACCGGAAUGUAUUUCUGUGCAGCAAGCACUGCACAGCGAGGCAGCUCCCCUAGAGACCUAACAGAAAACUCCCAGCUGGUGCUGCUAGUAAAUUUAAAACAACUUAUAACACACAGGAAAAUAAUGGCUCUGCACCAACUGCGAACUGCAUCUCCUGUUUAAAAGGAAAAACAAAUGUCUUUACAGCUCCAACUACACAAACCGGGGUCGACUGCAUUUCUUACUUAAGUGUUUAUUUUCAUACCCC
This is a non-coding RNA of Protopterus annectens (West African lungfish), 598 nucleotides long. Lineage: Eukaryota; Metazoa; Chordata; Ceratodontiformes; Protopteridae. The record is from the annotation of a RefSeq genome assembly.